AUAGGUUAAUGAGGCGAACCGGGGGAACUGAAACAUCUAAGUACCCCGAGGAAAAGAAAUCAACCGAGAUUCCCCCAGUAGCGGCGAGCGAACGGGGAGGAGCCCAGAGCCUGAAUCAGUGUGUGUGUUAGUGGAAGCGUCUGGAAAGGCGCGCGAUACAGGGUGACAGCCCCGUACACAAAAAUGCACAUAUUGUGAGCUCGAUGAGUAGGGCGGGACACGUGGUAUCCUGUCUGAAUAUGGGGGGACCAUCCUCCAAGGCUAAAUACUCCUGACUGACCGAUAGUGAACCAGUACCGUGAGGGAAAGGCGAAAAGAACCCCGGCGAGGGGAGUGAAAAAGAACCUGAAACCGUGUACGUACAAGCAGUGGGAGCCUCUUAAUGGGGUGACUGCGUACCUUUUGUAUAAUGGGUCAGCGACUUAUAUUCUGUAGCAAGGUUAACCGAAUAGGGGAGCCGAAGGGAAACCGAGUCUUAACUGGGCGUUAAGUUGCAGGGUAUAGACCCGAAACCCGGUGAUCUAGCCAUGGGCAGGUUGAAGGUUGGGUAACACUAACUGGAGGACCGAACCGACUAAUGUUGAAAAAUUAGCGGAUGACUUGUGGCUGGGGGUGAAAGGCCAAUCAAACCGGGAGAUAGCUGGUUCUCCCCGAAAGCUAUUUAGGUAGCGCCUCGUGAAUUCAUCUCCGGGGGUAGAGCACUGUUUCGGCAAGGGGGUCAUCCCGACUUACCAACCCGAUGCAAACUGCGAAUACCGGAGAAUGUUAUCACGGGAGACACACGGCGGGUGCUAACGUCCGUCGUGAAGAGGGAAACAACCCAGACCGCCAGCUAAGGUCCCAAAGUCAUGGUUAAGUGGGAAACGAUGUGGGAAGGCCCAGACAGCCAGGAUGUUGGCUUAGAAGCAGCCAUCAUUUAAAGAAAGCGUAAUAGCUCACUGGUCGAGUCGGCCUGCGCGGAAGAUGUAACGGGGCUAAACCAUGCACCGAAGCUGCGGCAGCGACGCUUAUG
Molecule: ribosomal RNA, 1012 nt
Filed under: Escherichia coli
Lineage: Bacteria; Pseudomonadati; Pseudomonadota; Gammaproteobacteria; Enterobacterales; Enterobacteriaceae
Description: partial 23S ribosomal RNA
Rfam family: Bacterial large subunit ribosomal RNA
Source: RNAcentral